UUGCCUACGGGGGGCAGCAGUGGGGAAUAUUGCACAAUGGGGGGAACCCUGAUGCAGCGACGCCGCGUGGGUGAAGGAGCGUUUCGGCGCGUAAAGCCCUAUCGGCAGGGGAGAAGAUGACGGUACCUGACCAAGAAGCCCCGGCUAACUACGGGCCAGCAGCCGCGGUAAUACGUAGGGGGCAAGCGUUAUCCGGAUUUAAUGGGUGUAAAGGGGGCGCAGACGGCAAUGCAAGCC
This 237-nucleotide ribosomal RNA is filed under the name uncultured bacterium. Its description in RNAcentral is "partial 16S ribosomal RNA". It matches the Rfam family "Bacterial small subunit ribosomal RNA", at positions 335 to 589 of the family's 1533-position model. The record is from RNAcentral.